Apis cerana (Asiatic honeybee) is the source of this 1568-nucleotide long non-coding RNA. RefSeq lists it as uncharacterized. Lineage: Eukaryota; Metazoa; Arthropoda; Insecta; Hymenoptera; Apidae. The record is from RefSeq and is a predicted model, not a curated record.
GGGUCUGAUCUAAUUUCAAGCUUCUUCGACUUAUAAUCGCAUUCAAAAUAAAACUCAAUUUUCCAUAUUAAACGAUUCUUUGGAAAUAACAAAUAAUACAUUCUACAUACAAAUGUAUUUUCAAAGAAAUACUCUUAAAGGAAAGAAGUCCAAAAACUCAUCUAUAAUUAGCAGCAAACUUAUUGAUUUUUCUAUUUGAAAAAAUAACGAAGUUGUGACAUAAUUUUGUAGCAUUUCGCACAGCAAACUCACAAUAUACGUUGUUUUAUCAUUAACUGCGAGAAGUGCGAAGAUUACAAGCGUAGGAUUCCGCGAUUUAUGAAUGAUUUGGAGGAGUGAAUGAACGGGGUCGACGCAUGCGCGCCACUGUCCAGAUUCCAUUCCCAUUCCAAUCUUGUUUCUAUUCUCUCUUUCUAUGUUUUAUCCUUCUACUGCACUCCGAUAUCAUGAAUAGCUGUAAAAUUCAUAAAAAGAUUUUUUUAAAAUUUUUAUCAAGGUCUCUCUACGAUUAUAGAAGUAACAUUACUAAGAAAAAGAAAGCGUUUCUUUCAUUGUUAUGAAAAUAUUUACAUAACUACAUGGAAACCAACCCAAUCCAGAGUAAAUUAAGCUUUUUGGUUUUGCGAUUUUAUUUUAUGACAAAUGUGAGAUUUCCAAUCUGAUAAGAUCAGAAUAUUAUGUUAUUUUUUUUUAUAUACUUUUCGCUUAUUUUAAUUAUUAUAUUAUAAUUAUUUAUAAUUAAAUCAUCAUUUUUUUUUAUUAAAAGUUAUGGAUAUUAAAUCAAUAGUUUAUAUAAUUUUCUUAUAAAUAAGAAAAAAAAACAUAUAAUUAUUUUUGAAAACUUUACUUUCUGAAAAUCACUAUCUUUCAGACAUAAUUUUUUAGAAGACUUUCAAAAUAUUUAUUUUCCUGUAAAGAAUAAUUUUUUUUGUAAUAAAAACAAUAUUUUAAAGUGUUAUAUCUACAAUUUUCAAAACUUAAAAAAAAUUAAGUUAUUUUUAUUACAUUUUUAUAUUUUUUUAAUUACUGUAGUAUAUCUCGAAGAAAAGUAUUUGUGAUUCAUAUAACACUCAUAAUAGCAAUUUGUCGAUACAAGCUGAAAGUUAUAAGAUAACAAAAUCUCUAAAUAUUGAAUAAAACUAUAUGAAUUCAACACAAGUAGUUGAUCAAUACAAUUGUAAAGAUAUUGUCCAAUUUAUAUAUGAAAAUUUUUUUUCCAAUAUAGUUUCAAUAAUAAAAGAAACAUGUAAUUUUACUUUUGACAUAUUUUUCUCAAUAGUCUAAAAAUAAAUAAUUUAAUAACUAAAAAUUGUUUCAAUGUUUGUGUAAAAAAGAUAAACAAAUAAAACAAUCUAUAUAAAUUAUUCAAAUUUCAUGAAUUUUUCUCUGUAAAUUAUAAUAUUUUUAAAAAUAUUAUUUAAUAAUAAAAUAUACAAAAAUAUACAAAAAUAUAAAGUUUGUAAUUUAAAAGAAAUACUAAAAGAGAAUAAUAUCUUAUGAUGAGUGAAAUUAUAUUAAAAAAUAUAAUACGAUAAUAAUUAAUAAUAAAAAUAUAUCGUAAGAAAAUA